UGGGGAAUAUUGGACAAUGGGGGCAACCCUGAUCCAGCAAUGCCGCGUGUGUGAAGAAGGUCUUCGGAUUGUAAAGCACUUUCGACGGGGACGAUGAUGACGGUACCCGUAGAAGAAGCCCCGGCUAACUUCGUGCCAGCAGCCGCGGUAAUACGAAGGGGGCUAGCGUUGCUCGGAAUGACUGGGCGUAAAGGGCGUGUAGGCGGUUUACACAGUCAGAUGUGAAAUCCCCGGGCUUAACCUGGGAGCUGCAUUUGAUACGUGUAANCUAGAGUGUGAGAGAGGGUUGUGGAAUUCCCAGUGUAGAGGUGAAAUUCGUAGAUNUGGGAAUGGAACA
RNAcentral lists this ribosomal RNA (337 nucleotides) under uncultured bacterium. Its description in RNAcentral is "partial 16S ribosomal RNA". It matches the Rfam family "Bacterial small subunit ribosomal RNA", at positions 355 to 708 of the family's 1533-position model. The record is from RNAcentral.